AUGUGUGACAAAUGUGAACGCUGGAAGCAUCAAAUUUGUGCCCUUUUUAAUUUCAAAAGGGGUGAUUCUAAAGAAGCAAAAUGUACUUGCCCUAAAGUGUUGUUCUUGGGGCUAAAGAUCUGCCAAGGGCCGUGCUUAGCAAUCAUAUACAAGAACAACUCUUUAAACCGUUCAGGGAAGAGAGACACUAACAGGCCAUUCAUGAUGGGGAAAGCUUUGAUGAGGUUAGUGUUGCCUCAUCAAAUUCACAGAAUCUUACUUCUUUCCUGA
RNAcentral lists this ribosomal RNA (270 nucleotides) under Triticum aestivum (bread wheat). RNAcentral describes it as "partial small subunit ribosomal RNA". The record is from RNAcentral. Lineage: Eukaryota; Viridiplantae; Streptophyta; Magnoliopsida; Poales; Poaceae.